RNAcentral lists this ribosomal RNA (253 nucleotides) under uncultured bacterium. Its description in RNAcentral is "partial 16S ribosomal RNA". It matches the Rfam family "Bacterial small subunit ribosomal RNA", at positions 524 to 776 of the family's 1533-position model. The record is from RNAcentral.
UACGUAGGGUGCGAGCGUUGUCCGGAAUUACUGGGCGUAAAGAGCUCGUAGGUGGUUUGUCGCGUUGUUCGUGAAAACUCACAACUCAAUUGUGGGCGUGCGGGCGAUACGGGCAGACUGGAGUACUGCAGGGGAGACUGGAAUUCCUGGUGUAGCGGUGGAAUGCGCAGAUAUCAGGAAGAACACCCGUGGCUAAGGCGGUUCUCUAGUACGGUACUGACGCUGAGACGCGAAAGCGUGGGGAGCAAACAGG